Molecule: ribosomal RNA, 450 nt
Filed under: uncultured bacterium
Lineage: Bacteria
Description: bacterial SSU rRNA
Rfam family: Bacterial small subunit ribosomal RNA
Source: RNAcentral
GUGGGGAAUAUUGGACAAUGGGCGAAAGCCUGAUCCAGCCAUGCCGCGUGUGUGAAGAAGGUCUUCGGAUUGUAAAGCACUUUAAGUUGGGAGGAAGGGCAGUAAGUUAAUACCUUGCUGUUUUGACGUUACCGACAGAAUAAGCACCGGCUAACUUCGUGCCAGCAGCCGCGGUAAUACGAAGGGUGCAAGCGUUAAUCGGAAUUACUGGGCGUAAAGCGCGCGUAGGUGGUUUUGUAAGUGGGAGGUGAAAUCCCCGGGCUCAACAUGGGAACUGCCUACAAAGCUGCAUGACUAGAGUACGGUAGAGGGUAGUGGAAUUUCCUGUGUAGCGGUGAAAUGCGUAGAUAUAGGAAGGAACACCAGUGGCGAAGGCGACUACCUGGACUGAUACUGACACUGAGGUGCGAAAGCGUGGGGAGCAAACAGGAUUAGAAACCCGGGUAGUCC